GAUGAAGAACGUAGCGAAAUGCGAUAAGUAAUGUGAAUUGCAGAAUUCAGUGAAUCAUCGAAUCUUUGAACGCAUCUUGCGCUCCUUGGUAUUCUGAGGAGCAUGCCUGUUUGAGUGUCAUUAAAUUCUCAACUACACUGACUUUGAAUUGGUGUGGCUUGGAUUUGGGGGGAAAAUUGUUGUGGGCUUUUUGUAUAGUCUGCUGCCCUGAAAUUGAUUAGCGGUACCUUUGUGGAACUGUCUACAGGUGUGAUAAUUAUCUACAUCUUAGACAUCUGCUGGAAUGCUGCUCUCUAAACCUUACUUGUAUUGACAAUCUUGACCUCAAAUCAGGUAGGACUACCCGCUGAACUUAAGCAUAUCAAUAAGCGGAGGA
Molecule: unclassified non-coding RNA, 376 nt
Filed under: soil metagenome
Description: partial contains 5.8S ribosomal RNA, internal transcribed spacer 2, and large subunit ribosomal RNA
Rfam family: 5.8S ribosomal RNA (bases 1-120)
Source: RNAcentral